RNAcentral lists this ribosomal RNA (460 nucleotides) under uncultured bacterium. Its description in RNAcentral is "partial 16S ribosomal RNA". It matches the Rfam family "Bacterial small subunit ribosomal RNA", at positions 338 to 795 of the family's 1533-position model. The record is from RNAcentral.
CCUACGGGAGGCUGCAGUGAGGAAUAUUGGUCAAUGGACGAGAGUCUGAACCAGCCAAGUAGCGUGAAGGAUGACUGCCCUAUGGGUUGUAAACUUCUUUUAUAUGGGAAUAAAACGUUCCACGUGUGGGAUUUUGUAUGUACCAUAUGAAUAAGGAUCGGCUAACUCCGUGCCAGCAGCCGCGGUAAUACGGAGGAUCCGAGCGUUAUCCGGAUUUAUUGGGUUUAAAGGGAGCGUAGGUGGAUUGUUAAGUCAGUUGUGAAAGUUUGCGGCGCAACCGUAAAAUUGCAGUUGAAACUGGCAGUCUUGAGUACAGUAGAGGUGGGCGGAAUUCGUGGUGUAGCGGUGAAAUGCUUAGAUAUCACGAAGAACUCCGAUUGCGAAGGCAGUUCACUGGACUGCAACUGACACUGAGGCUCGAAAGUGUGGGUAUCAAACAGGAUUAGAUACCCGGGUAGUC